UGGUGAGUAACACGUGGAUAACCUACCUAUAAGACUGGGAUAACUUCGGGAAACCGGAGCUAAUACCGGAUAAUAUUUUGAACCGCAUGGUUCAAAAGUGAAAGACGGUCUUGCUGUCACUUAUAGAUGGAUCCGCGCUGCAUUAGCUAGUUGGUAAGGUAACGGCUUACCAAGGCAACGAUGCAUAGCCGACCUGAGAGGGUGAUCGGCCACACUGGAACUGAGACACGGUCCAG
RNAcentral lists this ribosomal RNA (236 nucleotides) under uncultured Staphylococcus sp. RNAcentral's name for it is "partial 16S ribosomal RNA". It matches the Rfam family "Bacterial small subunit ribosomal RNA", at positions 105 to 334 of the family's 1533-position model. The record is from RNAcentral. Lineage: Bacteria; Bacillati; Bacillota; Bacilli; Caryophanales; Staphylococcaceae.